CAAUAGCGUAUAUUAAAGUUGCUGCGGUUAAAAAGCUCGUAGUUGGAUUUCUGCUGAGGACGACCGGUCCGCCCUCUGGGUGAGUAUCUGGCUUGGCCUUGGCAUGUUCUUGGAGACCGUAGCUGCACUUGACUGUGUGGUGCGGUAUCCAGGAAUUUUACUUUGAGGAAAUUAGAGUGUUUCAAGCAGGCACACGCCUUUUUCAUUAGCAUGGAAUAAUAAGAUAGGACCUUGGUUUUAUUUUGUUGGUUUCUAGAGCUGAGGUAAUGAUUAAUAGGGAUAGUUGGGGGCAUUCGUAUUAGGGACUACUGCGAAAGCAUUUGCCAAGGAUGCUUUCAUUGAUCAACAACGAAAGUUAGGGGAUCGAAGAUGAUCAGAUACCGU
RNAcentral lists this ribosomal RNA (384 nucleotides) under uncultured eukaryote. RNAcentral describes it as "SSU rRNA". It matches the Rfam family "Eukaryotic small subunit ribosomal RNA", at positions 592 to 1018 of the family's 1831-position model. The record is from RNAcentral.